GCAGUCGACCAUUGGAUCCGACCGUUGCAGACUGUCCAGUGCACACCGGAUAGUCCGAUGCUACAACGCCCGAGAGUCACUGGUUGCGGGCCUCUCUGCUCAGACUAUCCGGUCACACACCGAACAGUCCGGUGCACACCGGGCAGGUACUGUUCACUGUUCGGUGCGCCACCAUAGCGCUGGCUGACUGCCCUCUUCUUGGAUUUUUUCGUUGUUUCCUUGGGCUUCUUUCGUUCUCGAGUCUUGGACUUCUACGGAUCUUUUAGGUCUUAUUUUGAGGUGUUGCAUCCUCAUAGCCUUAGUCCAAUCCUCUUCGCAUCCUGUGAACUACAAACACAAACAUUACCAAACAUAUUAGUUCACAAGGUUAUGUUGAUUAUCAAACACCAAAAUCCUUUAGACAAAUGGGCCGGUGUCCAUUUUCCUUACAAUCUCCCCCUUUUUGGUGAUUGAUGACAACACAACCAAGCAAGCAAAUAUAACAAAUACUUUGAUGAAAAUAUGCAAUCUAGAUGCUAGGAUGCAUGAAUGUUCCCACAAAGUGAGAUUAUGGACUUAAGCCUCACCCUAACUCCACAAUCCACGUAAUUCCUAUUUUAGAACAAAAACACUUGUAGAAACAAAACCAUUUGCAAGUUUAAGAUUUUAAAAUUUUAAAUUGAGUGAUUGGGUGGUAUUUGGUGUUUGAUAUAUUUUGAAUUGCUUUGGUCUCUAAAAAUUCUCCCCUUUGGAAUCAAGCAUCGAAAAGGAAGAGAUUAAAAGCAUUUAGGAAGCAAAUAAAACUUGUCCUCUAAAAGAUUACUCCUUAAAAAAGUGUUCUCCCCCUUUAAAAAAUAUACUCUCAUUUUUUUUACCAUAAGAGCUAGUUUGGUAACCACAAAACCGGAGUGGAUUGGAGGGGAUAAAAUUUCCUCGUAUUCAAUUUUGAAUAAGAAGUGAAUUUUAACCCCUCUAAUCCUCUCCGGGUUUUGGACUCUCAAACUAGAUCUAAAAGAAGAUAUACUCCCCUAGAUUCUCUACUUAGGAAAAGAACAAGAGAAAAAGAGGUACAAUAUAUGAUUUGAAUAGACUAACUCCACUAUGCGUAGGUAAAAGAUAUAGUUAAAAUAUAUAAUUGUGCAAUUUUUUUUCUCUCUCCAGUGAACACUUCCGCAACCGAACAUGCCACCGCCCAGGGGAUCCACCCGCCCAGCUCUCCCACAGGCCACAGCCAUCGCAACAGAGCAACAUGCCAACAGCCAUAUUGGCGAGGCGGAGCAAUCCCGUAGUGGGAUUGAAAUCCAAAACCCUAAACUAACUCCAAUCCACACUUGCCGGCAUGGCCCUCAAGCGCUCGGCCGCCGCCGCCAGCCUGGGGUCGGCGUCCGACGCCUCCGACGGCGAAGCGGGCGCGGCCCGCAACAGCCACCGCCGCCGAGUCUCCCCGUCCCGCUCCCGAUCCGAGUCCCCUCGGCCCAACCUCGGCCCUAGCGCCGCCGCUUCCGACACCAACCGUGAGCGUUCCCCCCGCGACCACCUCGACUCCGAUGCGGACUCCGACGCCGACGCCGGCGCCGGCGCCGGCCGCGGCGCCCGUUCCUCGAGGCUUCUCGGCGAACGUUCCCCGAGCUUCCACUCCAACUCGGACGCUGACGUCGCCGGGCGCUCUCCGUCGCCGAGGCGCAACCGCGAGCGCACCCUUCACCUCCACUCUGACUCCGACUCCGACAACUCCACCACGGCCGCGGCCGCCGCCUCCGAUGACGCCGGCGACGCCUCGCCUUUGGCUAUUGCGCACCGUGCCUCGCACAUCGGGACCUCCAACGUCAAACCCGUCAGCACGCGCCCGAUGGAUGUGCCCUCGCGCGCCGCCGCGGGAUCUUCCCAACGUCGUUCCAAGCGCCGCCCCAGCCCCCACUCCCCGGAGCACCAGAAGCGGCCGCCCCGGGUUUGGAGUCCUGAAGACGAGGUGACCAUACUGAGUGCUCUCAUUGAGUUCCGUGCCAAAAAAGGUCGGCUUCCUGCGUCCAUUCAGGACACGAGCAAGGUACACAGCCAGAUUAUUCAUCAACUCACUGCUAAUGCUUCUACGGCUCAGCUUAGUGAUAAGGUCAGGCGCCUCAAGCACAAGUACAAGUUGCUGCUCACUCGUUCAAAGAAUGGACGGGAUCCUGAUUUGCCAACCAAACAUGAUCGCGAUGUCUAUCAACUUAGCAAGAAAGUUUGGGGAUUGAAAAGUCUACUACUAGUACGAGGAUCUCGUGUGUCACACGAGGACACUGAAGAUGCAGAAGAGAGCAAUGAAGAGCAGGAGAUAGAGGAGAGUGAUGAGGAUAUAGAAAAUGGAUGGGGACUCCGUGGUCGCACAGGCAAGAAACCAAGGGCAUUGACAUUUGAAAAUGGCAAUGGUAAUGCAAUUGUCACUGCAGGUAGGGCUUGCCAUGGUGAUGGCAGUGGGAGAGAUGAUGCUGAGAAGGGAAAACAAAUGUACCCAUACCUGUGGGAGGCUGUUGAGGAGCUUUCGAAGGAGCAUCCGAGUGGACCUAUAUUCAGGAAGGCAUUUGGUGUACUUG
This 2552-nucleotide long non-coding RNA is filed under the name Zea mays. RNAcentral describes it as "long non-coding RNA (ZMAY_LNC002301)". Lineage: Eukaryota; Viridiplantae; Streptophyta; Magnoliopsida; Poales; Poaceae. The record is from RNAcentral.